RNAcentral lists this long non-coding RNA (232 nucleotides) under Elaeis guineensis (African oil palm). RNAcentral describes it as "long non-coding RNA (EGUI_LNC029770)". Lineage: Eukaryota; Viridiplantae; Streptophyta; Magnoliopsida; Arecales; Arecaceae. The record is from RNAcentral.
UGUUAAAUCAUGUCAAGAUGGUGAUCAUAAUUUAAACUAAAAAGUCUUUAAGGUUUGCUCAACAUCUCUUGGAGCCCAUCAGGAUCUGUAGAAUGGAUCCUAAUCAUGACACAAAAGAACACAUUAAUACUAUUAAUCGAAUGUUCAAAUCAAUUGAGGAUAACAAUUAUGUCAUUGAUGAGAGUUGGAAGAUGUCUUUGCUUAAGAGGACUUUACCUAAUUUCUAGACCAC